CCUACGGUGUGCUGCAGUGAGGAAUAUUGGUCAAUGGGCGCGAGCCUGAACCAGCCAAGUCGCGUGCAGGACGACGGCUCUACGAGUUGUAAACUGCUUUUGUACCGGGGUAAAAUGCCUUACGUGUAGGGUUUUGAAAGUACGGUACGAAUAAGGAUCGGCUAACUCCGUGCCAGCAGCCGCGGUAAUACGGAGGAUCCGAGCGUUAUCCGGAUUCAUUGGGUUUAAAGGGUGCGUAGGUUGUUUUAUAAGUUAGCGGUGAAAUACCGAUGCUCAACAUCGGGGCUGCCGCUAAUACUGUAGGACUAGAGAUCGGAUGCAGCAGGCGGAAUGUGUAGUGUAGCGGUGAAAUGCAGAGAUAUUACACAGAACACCGAUUGCGAAGGCAGCUUGCUAGGCCGGAUCUGACACUGAUGCACGAAAGCGUGGGGAUCGAACAGGAUUAGAUACCCCGGUAGUC
This 460-nucleotide ribosomal RNA is filed under the name uncultured bacterium. Its description in RNAcentral is "partial 16S ribosomal RNA". It matches the Rfam family "Bacterial small subunit ribosomal RNA", at positions 338 to 795 of the family's 1533-position model. The record is from RNAcentral.